AUCCAGCUGCCCUUAUACUCGUGUGUGAGA
Molecule: non-coding RNA, 30 nt
Filed under: Rattus norvegicus (Norway rat)
Lineage: Eukaryota; Metazoa; Chordata; Mammalia; Rodentia; Muridae
Source: RNAcentral